RNAcentral lists this transfer RNA (65 nucleotides) under Bulinus ugandae. RNAcentral describes it as "tRNA-Asp". Lineage: Eukaryota; Metazoa; Mollusca; Gastropoda; Planorbidae. The record is from RNAcentral.
UUUUAUUUAGUUUAAAAAAAAUCGUGACUUGUCAAGUCACAGAUUGAAGAAAGUUCAAGUAAAAC